Molecule: small RNA, 53 nt
Filed under: Flavobacterium sp. 102
Lineage: Bacteria; Pseudomonadati; Bacteroidota; Flavobacteriia; Flavobacteriales; Flavobacteriaceae
Description: Flavo-1 RNA
Source: RNAcentral
UAAUAGCCCCGAUUGAAGCAAGCUACCGUGUAGCGCGUAAAGCGGGAGCAAGU